ACACUCCUGCGGGAGGCAGCAGUGGGGAAUAUUGGACAAUGGGCGCAAGCCUGAUCCAGCCAUGCCGCGUGAGUGAUGAAGGCCCUAGGGUUGUAAAGCUCUUUCACCGGUGAAGAUAAUGACGGUAACCGGAGAAGAAGCCCCGGCUAACUUCGUGCCAGCAGCCGCGGUAAUACGAAGGGGGCUAGCGUUGUUCGGAUUUACUGGGCGUAAAGCGCACGUAGGCGGACUAUUAAGUCAGGGGUGAAAUCCCGGGGCUCAACCCCGGAACUGCCUUUGAUACUGGUAGUCUUGAGUUCGAGAGAGGUGAGUGGAAUUCCGAGGGUAGAGGGGAAAUUCGUAGAUAUUCGGAGGAACACCAGUGGCGAAGGCGGCUCACUGGCUCGAUACUGACGCUGAGGUGCGAAAGCGUGGGGAGCAAACAGGAUUAGAAACCCUAGUAGUCCCAUGA
RNAcentral lists this ribosomal RNA (451 nucleotides) under uncultured organism. RNAcentral describes it as "partial 16S ribosomal RNA". It matches the Rfam family "Bacterial small subunit ribosomal RNA", at positions 333 to 800 of the family's 1533-position model. The record is from RNAcentral.